UUAAGCGACUAAGCGUACACGGUGGAUGCCCUGGCAGUCAGAGGCGAUGAAGGACGUGCUAAUCUGCGAUAAGCGUCGGUAAGGUGAUAUGAACCGUUAUAACCGGCGAUUUCCGAAUGGGGAAACCCAGUGUGUUUCGACACACUAUCAUUAACUGAAUCCAUAGGUUAAUGAGGCGAACCGGGGGAACUGAAACAUCUAAGUACCCCGAGGAAAAGAAAUCAACCGAGAUUCCCCCAGUAGCGGCGAGCGAACGGGGAGCAGCCCAGAGCCUGAAUCAGUGUGUGUGUUAGUGGAAGCGUCUGGAAAGGCGCGCGAUACAGGGUGACAGCCCCGUACACAAAAAUGCACAUGCUGUGAGCUCGAUGAGUAGGGCGGGACACGUGGUAUCCUGUCUGAAUAUGGGGGGACCAUCCUCCAAGGCUAAAUACUCCUGACUGACCGAUAGUGAACCAGUACCGUGAGGGAAAGGCGAAAAGAACCCCGGCGAGGGGAGUGAAAAAGAACCUGAAACCGUGUACGUACAAGCAGUGGGAGCACAGAGCAAUCUGUGUGACUGCGUACCUUUUGUAUAAUGGGUCAGCGACUUAUAUUCUGUAGCAAGGUUAACCGAAUAGGGGAGCCGAAGGGAAACCGAGUCUUAACUGGGCGUUAAGUUGCAGGGUAUAGACCCGAAACCCGGUGAUCUAGCCAUGGGCAGGUUGAAGGUUGGGUAACACUAACUGGAGGACCGAACCGACUAAUGUUGAAAAAUUAGCGGAUGACUUGUGGCUGGGGGUGAAAGGCCAAUCAAACCGGGAGAUAGCUGGUUCUCCCCGAAAGCUAUUUAGGUAGCGCCUCGUGAAUUCAUCUCCGGGGGUAGAGCACUGUUUCGGCAAGGGGGUCAUCCCGACUUACCAACCCGAUGCAAACUGCGAAUACCGGAGAAUGUUAUCACGGGAGACACACGGCGGGUGCUAACGUCCGUCGUGAAGAGGGAAACAACCCAGACCGCCAGCUAAGGUCCCAAAGUCAUGGUUAAGUGGGAAACGAUGUGGGAAGGCCCAGACAGCCAGGAUGUUGGCUUAGAAGCAGCCAUCAUUUAAAGAAAGCGUAAUAGCUCACUGGUCGAGUCGGCCUGCGCGGAAGAUGUAACGGGGCUAAACCAUGCACCGAAGCUGCGGCAGCGACGCUUAUGCGUUGUUGGGUAGGGGAGCGUUCUGUAAGCCUGCGAAGGUGUGCUGUGAGGCAUGCUGGAGGUAUCAGAAGUGCGAAUGCUGACAUAAGUAACGAUAAAGCGGGUGAAAAGCCCGCUCGCCGGAAGACCAAGGGUUCCUGUCCAACGUUAAUCGGGGCAGGGUGAGUCGACCCCUAAGGCGAGGCCGAAAGGCGUAGUCGAUGGGAAACAGGUUAAUAUUCCUGUACUUGGUGUUACUGCGAAGGGGGGACGGAGAAGGCUAUGUUGGCCGGGCGACGGUUGUCCCGGUUUAAGCGUGUAGGCUGGUUUUCCAGGCAAAUCCGGAAAACUAAGGCUGAGGCGUGAUGACGAGGCACUACGGUGCUGAAGCAACAAAUGCCCUGCUUCCAGGAAAAGCCUCUAAGCAUCAGGUAACAUCAAAUCGUACCCCAAACCGACACAGGUGGUCAGGUAGAGAAUACCAAGGCGCUUGAGAGAACUCGGGUGAAGGAACUAGGCAAAAUGGUGCCGUAACUUCGGGAGAAGGCACGCUGAUAUGUAGGUGAAGUCCCUCGCGGAUGGAGCUGAAAUCAGUCGAAGAUACCAGCUGGCUGCAACUGUUUAUUAAAAACACAGCACUGUGCAAACACGAAAGUGGACGUAUACGGUGUGACGCCUGCCCGGUGCCGGAAGGUUAAUUGAUGGGGUUAGCGGUAACGCGAAGCUCUUGAUCGAAGCCCCGGUAAACGGCGGCCGUAACUAUAACGGUCCUAAGGUAGCGAAAUUCCUUGUCGGGUAAGUUCCGACCUGCACGAAUGGCGUAAUGAUGGCCAGGCUGUCUCCACCCGAGACUCAGUGAAAUUGAACUCGCUGUGAAGAUGCAGUGUACCCGCGGCAAGACGGAAAGACCCCGUGAACCUUUACUAUAGCUUGACACUGAACAUUGAGCCUUGAUGUGUAGGAUAGGUGGGAGGCUUAGAAGUGUGGACGCCAGUCUGCAUGGAGCCGACCUUGAAAUACCACCCUUUAAUGUUUGAUGUUCUAACGUGGACCCGUGAUCCGGGUUGCGGACAGUGUCUGGUAGGUAGUUUGACUGGGGCGGUCUCCUCCUAAAGAGUAACGGAGGAGCACGAAGGUUGGCUAAUCCUGGUCGGACAUCAGGAGGUUAGUGCAAUGGCAUAAGCCAGCUUGACUGCGAGCGUGACGGCGCGAGCAGGUGCGAAAGCAGGUCAUAGUGAUCCGGUGGUUCUGAAUGGAAGGGCCAUCGCUCAACGGAUAAAAGGUACUCCGGGGAUAACAGGCUGAUACCGCCCAAGAGUUCAUAUCGACGGCGGUGUUUGGCACCUCGAUGUCGGCUCAUCACAUCCUGGGGCUGAAGUAGGUCCCAAGGGUAUGGCUGUUCGCCAUUUAAAGUGGUACGCGAGCUGGGUUUAGAACGUCGUGAGACAGUUCGGUCCCUAUCUGCCGUGGGCGCUGGAGAACUGAGGGGGGCUGCUCCUAGUACGAGAGGACCGGAGUGGACGCAUCACUGGUGUUCGGGUUGUCAUGCCAAUGGCACUGCCCGGUAGCUAAAUGCGGAAGAGAUAAGUGCUGAAAGCAUCUAAGCACGAAACUUGCCCCGAGAUGAGUUCUCCCUGACUCCUUGAGAGUCCUGAAGGAACGUUGAAGACGACGACGUUGAUAGGCCGGGUGUGUAAGCGCAGCGAUGCGUUGAGCUAACCGGUACUAAUGAACCGUGAGGCUUAACCU
This 2905-nucleotide ribosomal RNA is filed under the name Escherichia coli. Its description in RNAcentral is "23S ribosomal RNA". It matches the Rfam family "Bacterial large subunit ribosomal RNA". Lineage: Bacteria; Pseudomonadati; Pseudomonadota; Gammaproteobacteria; Enterobacterales; Enterobacteriaceae. The record is from RNAcentral.